CCUACGGGUGGCUGCAGUGGGGAAUAUUGCACAAUGGGCGCAAGCCUGAUGCAGCCAUGCCGCGUGUGUGAAGAAGGCCUUCGGGUUGUAAAGCACUUUCAGCGGGGAGGAAGGCGGUGAGGUUAAUAACCUCAUCGAUUGACGUUACCCGCAGAAGAAGCACCGGCUAACUCCGUGCCAGCAGCCGCGGUGAUACGGAGGGUGCAAGCGUUAAUCGGAAUUACUGGGCGUAAAGCGCACGCAGGCGGUCUGUCAAGUCGGAUGUGAAAUCCCCGGGCUCAACCUGGGAACUGCAUUCGAAACUGGCAGGCUAGAGUCUUGUAGAGGGGGGUAGAAUUCCAGGUGUAGCGGUGAAAUGCGUAGAGAUCUGGAGGAAUACCGGUGGCGAAGGCGGCCCCCUGGACAAAGACUGACGCUCAGGUGCGAAAGCGUGGGGAGCAAACAGGAUUAGAUACCCCGGUAGUC
This 465-nucleotide ribosomal RNA is filed under the name uncultured Klebsiella sp. RNAcentral's name for it is "bacterial SSU rRNA". It matches the Rfam family "Bacterial small subunit ribosomal RNA", at positions 338 to 795 of the family's 1533-position model. The record is from RNAcentral. Lineage: Bacteria; Pseudomonadati; Pseudomonadota; Gammaproteobacteria; Enterobacterales; Enterobacteriaceae.